CCACUGCUAUUGGUUGGAUCAGACCAUGCUAACCUGAUUACAGCCCCAGAGCUAGGCCCCGCUGGUGGACCAGCAACAGUGCAUACUCAGCUCGGCUUGGCCCUCCAGGGACCGGAUGGACUCCCGCAGUAUCAGGUUCGAGCACAGCAGUGUCUGUGGGCUGCAGUUGGUCCAACAACCAGUGACGACAUCUACCAACAUGUAGAAUACAUCUACCAACAUGUAGAAUGCCUGUGGCAGUUGGAUAUGCUGCCAUAUCGAAGUGAUAAACUGGUAACAAGAUCUUGGCAAGACCAAGAAGCGGUGGGAACCCUGGAGGCCAAGACCGAAAGAGUGACAAUCAGUUACCUCCCCCCUCCGGAUCCAAGAUGCAUCACCCUUAAGGGCUUCAAAGGAAGCACUGAUGCCGAACCUCAGAAGUACUGGAAAGUGGCUGUGUUCGAGGCAGGGGUACCUCUCUGAACCAGCAGCUACUCCCAGGACCUAUCCUUGGCCCAUCUUUACUGGAAGUGCUCCUGUGGUUCCGGCAGCAUUCAGUCACCAUCAGUGGCGACAUUAAGGCCAUGUUCCACCAGGUCAGGCUGUUGCAUGAGGAUAGGCCCUUACAAUGAUUUAUAUGGAGGAACAUAUGGAGAGAAGACCCACCAGACAUCUAUGAAUGGCAGAUUUUACCAUUUGGCACCACCUGCAGCCCAUGUUGUGCAAUUGUUGCUGUCCAAAAGCAUGUGAGCUGGAAACAAGGACAUACUGCAGUCAGUGGAGUAGUGCUUUUAUGUGGACAAUUGUCUGCAGAGCCUGACAUCAGCUCAGUCUGCUCAACAUCUCAUAGACAAAAUGCAAGAACUGCUGGCUGCAGGUGGUUUCGAGAUUCAGCAGUGGGCCAGUAAUUGGCCUGCCAUUGUGGAGCAUCUCCCAACAGCUGCAUGUUCUGCAAACAUAGUUGUGGCUCACUCACACCGACCCACAGGAGCCAGCUCUAGGAUUAAAGUGGCACUAUCCCACAGAUGUGCUGGGCUACAAGCACAAACCUCAAGAUCAGCACACCCCAACAAUUAGGAACAUAUAUAUGGUCCUAGCUACCCAUUGUGAUCCAAGCAGAGGAACUGGGAUGACCCGAACCUCCCUGUUGACUUUCUGCAAGCCUGGACAGCAUCGGAGCAAGAGGUCUCCAAUCUCAGCAGCAUCACAUUUCCCCGGUGUUAUGUUCCCUUGGAGAUGGACACUAAAGAGGCAGUGUAUGAGUGCCACAUCUUCUGUGAUGCCUCUGAAGUAGCCUAUGGUUCAGUGGCCUAUGUUGUUGUGAAGCACAAGACAUCAUCCAUACCGCCUUUGUCAUGGCAUGAUCCAGAGUGGCCCCCAGGCAUCAACUGUCAAUUCCACGCUUAGAGCUCUGUGCAGCAUUGACGGGAGCCCAACUUGCCAGCCAAGGAGCUUACUCUACUCAUCCGACAGACUACUAUGUGGACUGACUCGACCACCUUCCUGACGUGGUUACUGAUUCUUGACGGUUCAAGGUUUUUGUUGGGACAAAGGCAGCAAAGGUGCAUGCGUUGACUGACCUGUGUUCCUGGAGAUAUGUGGAUUCAUCUGAUAAUCCAGCAGAUGACAUUAGUAGAGGGAAAUGCUUGGCAGACCUGGCCAGGUAAAGCCCAUGGAAUCAGGGGCCUCCCUUCCUUUACAGCACACCAGAGCAGUGGCCAGCAAUCCCCAAAUCUGCUGUGCUGUGGUGUUGCUGCGCAACAGGCCAAUCCUAGCCUGCCAGAUGUCACACAGUUCAUCUCUUGGAAGGCACUGGUGGCGACUACCUUGCACAUCCUCCACAGGAAGGUGGCUUCAGAUGACCAUGCUCCAAAGACAGACUGAGAGAGAGGCUGAGGCUUUACUCUUAAGAAGCUGUCAGGAGGACUGUUUCCCCGAGGAGAUGAAAGCCCUUGCAGCUGGGAAGCCAGUCUCACCCAGCAAUCAUCUUGCUGCACUCAUGCCCGAAUUUGACAAGGCCUCAGGUCUGAUCCAAGUAGGUGGUAGGCUCAGACGCAUGGAAGGUCCAAGCACAAUUGACAUUCAUCCGGUCGUCUUGGAUCCCCAUCAUGCCAGCACCAGACUACUCAUUAGGGAGUUUGACGAGCUCCUUCUCCAUCUGGAUCCUGACAGGGUUUCUGCCAAGAUGCAAUGACAGUAUUGGGUCCUGUGGGGCAGACAGGCAAUUAAGCAAUACCAAAGAACCUGUGCAAAAUGCCAGCGAUGGAGGGCUAAGCCUGUGACACCUAUCAUGGCCGUCUUACCACCAGCUCACCUAAGGCUCUAUCAGCCCCUCUUCUUUUCCACCAGCGUUGAUUGUUUUGGGCCAUUCAUGGUCAAGUUGGGCCACUGCACGGAGAAAUGAUGAGGAGUCAUUUUUAAAUGCCUCACCACCAGCUGCGUACACCUAGACCUCUUUAACAGUCUAGAUGUCGACACUUUCUUGCUGGCCUUACAGAGGUUCACAGUCAGGUGAGGGCAGCUAUCUGGAAUUCUCUCUUAUCAGGGAACAAAUUUCCAUGGUGUGGAGAGAAAGCUGAGAGAGUCCUAUGCAGCCAUAGAGCUACAGACUGUGACAAAUAGCAGACCAUCAGAUCACCUUCAAGCUUAAUCCACCUAAUGCUCCUCAUUUCGGUGGCGCAUGGGAGCGCGAGAUUAGAUCAGUUAAGAAUGCAAUCCGAGUGGUCAUUGGAAGUCAGUUGGUUUCGGAAGAUGUUCAUGGUUUUGGUGGAGGCUGAGUACAUCCUGAAUGCCAAGCCCCUAGGGUACACAUCCUCAGACAUCACAAAUGUGGACCUGGUGACACCCAAUAUGCUCCUCAUGGGGCCGCGGGAUGCCACACUACCUCAAGUCACCUAUGUACCGGAGCCACUGACCAGACGCCAUUGGCACCAUAGCCAGACCAUCUCUGACCACUUCUGGUCCCACUUCACACGCCACUAUCUCCCUGCAUUGCAAGGUCGCUCCAAGUGGCAAUGACAGGUUGAUGACUUACCUGGAUUCUGUGGUUAUGAUAUCGGACCCACAACUGCCACGUGCACAUUGGCCAGUAGGCAGGAUUGUUAAACUCAUACCAAGCGCAGAUGGACACAUCAGAUAUACUGAAACGAAGGUCCAGAACCACAGUUACCUCCGGCCUGUUGCUCAUCUCAUUCGACUCCCAUCCAUUCCAGAUGAAGAUACUCAAGCUGCAUCACCUUAGGGAAUUUAAUUGUUGCACAUGAGCUUAACUCAUGUGGGAACAGCUGUACAAAAUUCCCCAGUCAGGCAUAGUUAGGGCAGCCUACCCCGCUGUUGGGUCCUACCUGGGUCCUGAGCUGUGUUGCCGGCAUACUGUAGUAGCCUUGUUCUGAGUUGAGUCAUGGUAUGCAUGAAGUAAGUGCUGCUAAUUGUUCUUACCUGUUAAUUUCUUACACAAUUCAUGGUGUAUAGCUCAUAUAUUGUGCUUCAAAUUUAGAUUGUGGAGUAUUAUCACAGAUAAUUGUGAAUUACGUUGGUAGACAUUAUAUUCGGGCUACAAAUAAACUAGUCAGCAAGCUGCAUGUUAACUACCCAGUUCAUUUGCAUUGUCAAAGUACACUAUUCAUUUGUAUUGAAAUACAUUGUUUAAUUGUAUUGAAGGGAAACAUUUCUUGAUAUUGUGUUAGUAAUUACUCAUAGUGACUUACAUAUAAUAGCUGCAAUAUUCAUUGACAGCAGAAUUAAUAUGUUCUAUCACACUGUUGGCUGUAUAUUUAAUUUCUGUUCUAUUGUUAUGCCUGUAUUGCAGAAACCAUAUCAUAAGCUCAACUUCAGUAAACAGUUGAAUGGCA
Long non-coding RNA from Thunnus maccoyii (southern bluefin tuna), 3830 nucleotides. RefSeq lists it as uncharacterized. The transcript has 2 exons. The record is from RefSeq and is a predicted model, not a curated record. NCBI's taxonomy places the organism in Eukaryota, Metazoa, Chordata, Actinopteri, Scombriformes, Scombridae.